Molecule: ribosomal RNA, 301 nt
Filed under: uncultured bacterium
Lineage: Bacteria
Description: partial 16S ribosomal RNA
Rfam family: Bacterial small subunit ribosomal RNA
Source: RNAcentral
CAGCAGCCGCGGGAAAACGGAGGGGGCUAGCGUUGUUCGGAAUUACUGGGCGUAAAGCGCACGUAGGCGGCUCUGUAAGUUAGAGGUGAAAGCCUGGGGCUCAACUCCAGAAUUGCCUUUAAGACUGCAUCGCUUGAACGUCGGAGAGGUGAGUGGAAUUCCGAGUGUAGAGGUGAAAUUCGUAGAUAUUCGGAAGAACACCAGUGGCGAAGGCGGCUCACUGGACGACUGUUGACGCUGAGGUGCGAAAGCGUGGGGAGCAAACAGGAUUAGAUACCCCUGUAGUCCCUGUCUCUUAUAC